UUGCCGCACAGAGACGCCCACCACCUCCUUCUGAUUUAUUUCCACCUAAAUAUUUUCACGCGCCUCUGCACGGCUCAUUAGGCCUGAAGUGUGUGUGUGUGUGUGUGUGUGACUAGUACUAUAAAAGGACUAGUGACAGCGGUGUUUGGAAGCAGCAACGUGGAGGCGGUGGCGGAGAUAAUUAUAAUUGUUGACGCGGGACAGGAGGCCAGUGUGGAGGGCGUGUACAGAGGCAGACGGCACUAGUGGUUAAGCUGUGCGCGUUCAGAGUGUUGGCGAGUCGAUGAGGAUAGUAUGGAGGCCUUCAGUGUCGUUAGAGAGAAGGUGCAUCGCCUCGUGUCUCGUGUUCACGGAGUGGAUUGGUGGUGGCGAGGGUGGCGGGUGGUGGGCAUGCGCGAUCACGGCUGUGAGCUGAGAGCCUCUCAGAGUAUAGGCGACUGGAGUCCCUAAGCCAUGAAGUGAAUGGCGUGUGGCGGUGUGGUGAAGCGUGGGGUGUCCCUCGAUCUGGUGCUGAGCGCGGUACUUGGUUUUGACUUACUGCCUAAACACGGGCUUACUGAUGGCUGUGACACGCACCAAGGGCGAUAAUGGCGAUGCCAGGAAGGAAAACCUGUGCUAAGUUCUGAGGUGCGGUGACAAAAUUGCUGUGUUGUGAGUGAAUAAAAUUCGUUCCGUAAGCCGCGGCCGCCUGUCACUGAUGUUCUGCUGUUACGUUGUUGUUGCCGUGAUUCAGUUACACAGUGAAAGAGAUCGUCGUGAUCCCAGUGCAGUACUGUAAUGCCGUGCUGCCGGGAGUGUUGCCGUGCUGCCUUGCUGCCAGGAAGUGCUGUCGUGUGCUGGGAAGUGUUGCCGCGCUGCCGGCAGGAGUAAGUGGACCUGCUGGUGGACUACAGGCUGAACACAAGCAUUGACAAGCAGUACAGGGCAUUUCAUGAUGGCUUCUGCAGGGUGUGGGACGGUAGUGCUCAAACUUUUCCAGCCAGUGGAACUUAUGGACUUGGUCACCGGCAAUGAAAAUUAUUUCUGGACUGAGUUGGAAAAGAAUGCUGAAUAUAAAAUUAAGUUAGUUAAGGGUGAGUACUUCCCAGACCAUCCAGUCACUCGCAUGUGUUGGGAAGUCUUUCGCGAGCUCUCGCUGGAACAGAAAAUGUUUUCAAGUUUCUGACGGGGACUCACCAGGUUCUUCUACUAGGCAUGCCUGCACCACACCUGCCAGAGAAGGAUGUCCCAAGGCUGCCUCCCAAUGUCACCUUUUCCUGUCUCCGUCGCUCCAUCUUAGCAUACCUCACUUGCUCAUCCAACUGCUGCCUGCAAGGUGGAGAAUGUUUACACCUGGAAACGUUGCAAUAAAUGAAGAAGGAGAAUGUUUACACCUGGAAACGUUGCAAUAAAUGAAGAAGGAAG
This is a long non-coding RNA of Scylla paramamosain (green mud crab), 1404 nucleotides long. RefSeq lists it as uncharacterized. The transcript is spliced from 5 exons. Lineage: Eukaryota; Metazoa; Arthropoda; Malacostraca; Decapoda; Portunidae. The record is from RefSeq and is a predicted model, not a curated record.